RNAcentral lists this long non-coding RNA (409 nucleotides) under Mytilus galloprovincialis (Mediterranean mussel). Lineage: Eukaryota; Metazoa; Mollusca; Bivalvia; Mytilida; Mytilidae. The record is from RNAcentral.
GGUCAGUUGAAGUAUGCCUCUGGGUGCGGGAGUUUCUCGCUGUAUUGAAGACCCAUUGGUGGCCUUCGGCUGUUCUUUGCUCUUUGGUCGGGUUGUUGUCUCUUUGACACAUUCCUCAUUUCGAUUUACAAUUUUAUUAAGUUUGGUAUUUUUUCCUGUCUGGUAUGAAAUGUCAAAAUUUUAAUGUUACAUGGAUUGAGAGUUGUCUCAUUGGCACUCGAUACCACAUCUUCUAAUAUCUAUGAACAAUAUCUAAAGUUUAUUUUAUAAAUGUAAUCCCUCAUUUAAAGUACAUUCAAUGCAUUGCAUGGGUACAUAACAGUCUUGAACUGGCUUGUGAAUCCGUGUCACCAAACUUUGAAAAUGGUUGAUGUUUUGCAAAAACAAUAACUUUAAAACUUAAAGUGUU